This is a long non-coding RNA of Populus euphratica (Euphrates poplar), 128 nucleotides long. RefSeq lists it as uncharacterized. The record is from RefSeq and is a predicted model, not a curated record. NCBI's taxonomy places the organism in Eukaryota, Viridiplantae, Streptophyta, Magnoliopsida, Malpighiales, Salicaceae. The transcript has 3 exons.
AUUCUCAAGAUUUCACACCCAAAUUCAGAUCUUUUAACUUGGUGCCAUCAACGAAAGAAAGAUUGGAUGAUACUGUUCUCUGUUUUUAUUAGAGCUCAGAAAAUAAAAAAAGCUAUAAAAAAGAUGAG